GUAUAUGGUAUACUAAAGCAUGGAAUGUUAGGUUUUUUUUAUGUUCAUUCGAAAAACAUUUCACUGAUAUGUGACGUCACUAGGUAUAUGUGAAGUGCCACCAGUUCAAACUUAUGCACUCAUACGCUUAGCUGCAGAACUGUAGCUCUCUGACAAAUUAUUGUGACGGAGCAGAGAGCUACAGAUCCACCCCGUACAAAAAUCUUCGAUUUACGGCGCACAAAAAGCUGUGCACGUUUGAGGCCUGAUAUCGUUGUAUUUUCGUGUUGCUGUCUCAUAAAUUUCAUAUAAAAAAUUCUUAGCAUAUUUUCCUACUAUACUUGUGUCCAAACAUACCUUCAAAUAUUCAUCAAAGCCCCAUACGACUCGAACAUUCACAGCUUCAAAUGAUUUCGUUUGUUGACGUAGCCAUGUCUGGUAGCCGGUCAAUUCGAACACUGUUGCUAUUGGUACAUGUUCAUAAAACUUGUUAUAAGUUAUGCAUUCGCUCUUCAUUUAUUAUCAACACGAAUAAUUAAUAGAGAUUGAAAAAAAUAUAGUUUUUCUAAAGGUAAAUUCAGCUAAUGAAAAUUCUACAAAAGCCUAUUAUGGUCCUUAACACACGUGUGGCAGGGAUGGAGACCAAACCAGAUUAAUGAAAGCUGCAUUGCCGUAAUUUUGCUAUUUGAAUAAUUAUCAUUUAAACGAACUGAGAUGAUACAUCAUCUAAAAUUUUAGCUAGAAUAUUUGUGGGAAUACUAGUUCACAUCUAGACGUUAUUGUGCAAUUUUUUUUUACAUGAAACGGGAUUCGAAUUGACUGGCUGCCUAACAUGGCUAAGUCAACAAACGAAAUCAUCAAAAGCUGUUUGUCUUCGGGUCGUAUGGGGCUUUAAGGAAUAUUUGAAGAAAAGCGUACUUAUAGUAGUAGAUGGAGCGAAAGGACUUUCCUUAACCUGCAGCAAUACAUCACAAGGGAAUGUCACCUUAGCCAAUGAGAAAAGAUCUCCACUGUCUGAAUGGAAUGAGCGCGUAGAGAACGAAUAUACCUGGACAACACAGAACACGGAGACAGAAGAAUCCUACUUUGAGUACACACCAUUUGUUUCAUGUAUUGCAAAAGACAAAAAUGGUGAAAUCAAAUUUGAUCACGUUAUUUGGUAAUCAGAAUUUUGAAAAUUAAAAAUAGAUGUCUUCGAAAAA
This is a long non-coding RNA of Ostrea edulis (European flat oyster), 1181 nucleotides long. RefSeq lists it as uncharacterized. The record is from RefSeq and is a predicted model, not a curated record. Lineage: Eukaryota; Metazoa; Mollusca; Bivalvia; Ostreida; Ostreidae. The transcript is spliced from 2 exons.